This 73-nucleotide transfer RNA is filed under the name compost metagenome. RNAcentral's name for it is "tRNA-Gly". The record is from RNAcentral.
UGGCGGCGAGCGGCGUGGCGUGCGCGCUGCUUUCCGGGCGGCGCUCCGCCGCGGUCGCGGUGCGCGCCGCCGA